This 253-nucleotide ribosomal RNA is filed under the name uncultured bacterium. Its description in RNAcentral is "partial 16S ribosomal RNA". It matches the Rfam family "Bacterial small subunit ribosomal RNA", at positions 524 to 776 of the family's 1533-position model. The record is from RNAcentral.
UACGAAGGGGGCUAGCGUUGUUCGGAAUUACUGGGCGUAAAGGGCGUGUAGGCGGCCCGUUAAGUCAGGUGUGAAAUUCCUGGGCUCAACCCAGGACGUGCGCCUGAUACUGGCGGGCUUGAGUCCGGGAGAGGAUGGUGGUACUCCCAGUGUAGAGGUGAAAUUCGUAGAUAUUGGGAAGAACACCCGUGGCGAAGGCGGCCAUCUGGACCGGUACUGACGCUAAGGCGCGACAGCGUGGGGAGCAAACAGG